GUCCGGAUAGCUCAAUGGUCUAGAGCAGUUGCCCGGAGAGCGAAAGAGUCGGAUUCGAUUUCCGAUCUAGCUA
RNAcentral lists this transfer RNA (73 nucleotides) under Camponotus floridanus (Florida carpenter ant). It matches the Rfam family "tRNA". Rfam says of the family: Transfer RNA (tRNA) molecules are approximately 80 nucleotides in length. Their secondary structure includes four short double-helical elements and three loops (D, anti-codon, and T loops). Lineage: Eukaryota; Metazoa; Arthropoda; Insecta; Hymenoptera; Formicidae. The record is from Rfam by way of RNAcentral.